AAUACACCUUUAAAAAUAAAUAAUAUUGCUAUCGCAAAAAAGUCUAACCUAUUCCGGUGUUCUCUUCCUCAUGAGACAAGCCGUUACAUAGGCUCAAACAGU
Molecule: small nucleolar RNA, 102 nt
Organism: Acomys russatus (golden spiny mouse)
Lineage: Eukaryota; Metazoa; Chordata; Mammalia; Rodentia; Muridae
Product: small nucleolar RNA SNORA28
Exons: 1
Source: RefSeq, a predicted model, not a curated record